UCGAAUGUGGUGUAUGGUGCACGGCCUUGAUAUAUGAAAUGCUACCAAGUAAUCUCAACUUGAAGGGCAGGACGGGGUUCAACUCCCCGCGUUCGAA
Molecule: non-coding RNA, 97 nt
Organism: Mycena rosella
Lineage: Eukaryota; Fungi; Basidiomycota; Agaricomycetes; Agaricales; Mycenaceae
Source: the annotation of a GenBank genome assembly